GGAAACGUGCCCGAAUUAGGGGUUACUUUGAUAGAGUAAAACACAGAGGUUAAAACCCUCUCGUCUCCC
RNAcentral lists this transfer RNA (69 nucleotides) under Plestiodon kishinouyei. RNAcentral's name for it is "tRNA-Ile". It matches the Rfam family "tRNA". From Rfam's summary of the family: Transfer RNA (tRNA) molecules are approximately 80 nucleotides in length. Their secondary structure includes four short double-helical elements and three loops (D, anti-codon, and T loops). Lineage: Eukaryota; Metazoa; Chordata; Lepidosauria; Squamata; Scincidae. The record is from RNAcentral.